RNAcentral lists this ribosomal RNA (491 nucleotides) under uncultured bacterium. Its description in RNAcentral is "partial 16S ribosomal RNA". It matches the Rfam family "Bacterial small subunit ribosomal RNA", at positions 29 to 506 of the family's 1533-position model. The record is from RNAcentral.
AGUGAACGCUGGCGUUAGGCCUAACACAUGCAAGUCGAACGGCAGCACAGUAAGAGCUUGCUCUUACGGGUGGCGAGUGGCGGACGUGUGAGGAAUACAUCGGAAUCUACUUUUUCGUGGGGGUUAACGUAGGGAAACUUACGCUAAUACCGCAUACGACCUACGGGUGAAUGCAGGGGAUUUUCGGACCUUGCGCGAUUGAAUGAGCCGAUGUCGGUUUAGUCAGUUGGUGGGGUAGAGGCCCACUAAGGCGACGAUCGGUAGCUGGUCUAAGAGGAUAUUCAGCCACACAGGAAGUGAGACACGGUACAGGCACCUACGGGAGGCAGCAGUGGGAAAUAUUGGACAAUGGGCGCAAGGCUGACCCAGCCAUACCGCGUGGGUGAAGAAGGCCUUCGGGUUGUAAAGCCCUUUUGUUGGGAAAGAAAAGCAGCAGGUUAAUACCUCGCUGUUCUGACGGUACCCAAAGAAUAAGCACCGGCUAAAUUAGU